CAUGUGUCACAUGGCAAGAGAGAGGGAACGAGAUGGAGAAGUAGGAGUGCCACACUUUUAAAUAACCAGAUUUUGGUGAAUUCAGAACAAAAACUCAUUCAUUACUUUGAAGAGAGCCCCAAUCCAUUCAUGAGGGAUCUGCCUCCAUGACCCAAACACCUCCUACCAGGCCCCAUCUCCACCAUGGGGGAAUCACAUUUCAAUAUGAGGUUUGGAGGGACAAGCAUCCAAAGUAUGUUAUCACCCGUCAUCUUGUUUUUCAUAAUUUUUUUUUCCCAUAAGUAACACUGGUACUUUUUUCAUAUAGGAUUUCCGGGAAAAAAAUACAGAUCAUAUGCGCCCAGACAUUGUAGCUCUUCUGAGAAGCAGCAAGAAUGCAUUUAUCUCUGGGAUGAUUGGAAUUGAUCCUGUAGCUGUUUUCCGAUGGGCAAUUCUCCGAGCUUUUUUCAGAGCCAUGGUUGCUUUCAGGGAAGCUGGGAAAAGAAACAUUCACAGAAAAACUGGACAUGAUGAUACAGCGCCAUGUGCAAUUUUGAAAAGUAUGGAUAGUUUUAGCUUUCUCCAACACCCAGUCCACCAGAGGAGCUUAGAGAUUCUGCAGAGAUGCAAGGAAGAGAAGUACAGUAAGGCUACAAAUCCUGAUAAACUGUUAUCACAUAUCCAUUUGG
RNAcentral lists this long non-coding RNA (668 nucleotides) under Homo sapiens (human). Its description in RNAcentral is "non-protein coding lnc-GRAMD2A-3:1". The record is from RNAcentral. Lineage: Eukaryota; Metazoa; Chordata; Mammalia; Primates; Hominidae.